RNAcentral lists this ribosomal RNA (467 nucleotides) under uncultured bacterium. RNAcentral's name for it is "partial 16S ribosomal RNA". It matches the Rfam family "Bacterial small subunit ribosomal RNA", at positions 28 to 507 of the family's 1533-position model. The record is from RNAcentral.
GACGAACGCUGGCGGCGUGCUUAACACAUGCAAGUCGAACGGAAAGGCCUCUUUCGGGGGGUACUCGAGUGGCGAACGGGUGAGUAACACGUGAGUAACCUGCCCUUGACUUUGGGAUAACUUCAGGAAACUGGGGCUAAUACCGGAUAGGAGCUCCUGCUGCAUGGUGGGGGUUGGAAAGUUUCGGCGGUUGGGGAUGGACUCGCGGCUUAUCAGCUUGUUGGUGGGGUAGUGGCUUACCAAGGCUUUGACGGGUAGCCGGCCUGAGAGGGUGACCGGCCACAUUGGGACUGAGAUACGGCCCAGACUCCUACGGGAGGCAGCAGUGGGGAAUAUUGCACAAUGGGUGGAAGCCUGAUGCAGCAACGCCGUGUGCGGGAUGACGGCCUUCGGGUUGUAAACCGCUUUCGCUCAUGACGAAGCUUUGUGUGACGGUAGUGGGUAAAGAAGAACCGGCUAACUACGUG